GGGGGACGGAAUCUCAACGUCUCUACAUCUCCACAUCUUCCUCACUUUGCCCCUCCCAUCUACUUCAUCUUCCUCGCUUCACCUAUCCCACUAAUCUUGUCUCGAGUUUUUCGCCCUUCGGAGAAAACCCAAAUACCACAGCCCAAUUGAAAAUCGGCCUGCGAGAUCAAGGGUCGGUCGUCCUCAACGUUGAAGAUCAGCAGUAGCAGCAGCGGCUUUGCUCUCAACGUUGAAAAGCUCAAAGGCGGUGAAAAGAAACGAAGAAGAAACUAUCUAAGUUUUCCUAUAAAUUUCCAAAUCAUGUUACUACGUUGUUGAAUUAUGAUGAAUCCCUGUCCGCCAUUGUGUCCUGUCCGCCAUAGUGUAUAUAGUGUGAGCAGGGCGUCUGUGUAUAGAAUUCUUCUUUUUUGUUUAGGAGAUCCGGUCACCAAGAUGGGUUAAUUGUUCAUCAUAGUUCUUGUUAUCUUGAAUCAGGGUCUUUUUUUUUUUUUUUCUGGUUUGCAAUACACUGCGUGUGGAAGCAUGGUCAAUUUACUGGUUGAGAUUCGAGACUGCUGUUUGCACUCAUUUACAAAGUUUUCUGUCAUAAGAAGUUGUUAGCCUUGAUAUUCUCA
Pyrus x bretschneideri (Chinese white pear) is the source of this 614-nucleotide long non-coding RNA. RefSeq lists it as uncharacterized. The record is from RefSeq and is a predicted model, not a curated record. NCBI's taxonomy places the organism in Eukaryota, Viridiplantae, Streptophyta, Magnoliopsida, Rosales, Rosaceae. The transcript is spliced from 2 exons.